GUCACUGAGUGUCUGUCCCAGGGAUUGAUGAGAGUGUCCUGCUCCUCUGAGGGAGGGGACAGUCCUCAGUACAGCUGGACUCUGGGUGGACGCACACUGACACACACUGAGCUCCUCUCUGGAAAUCAUGAGACUAACAACAUCACUCUGAAACAACACGUCUCAGGACGUCUGGUCUGCUCAGUCAGGAAUCACAUCAGUAGUGUCUCCAAAGAGGAGACGAUAUCUACCUGUAAAGAUCCCUCCCUGCUCAUAUGUGGUUUGCUCUUCGCUGUGGCAGUUCUUUCAGUGGUUGGGAUUGCCAUGUUUUUUCAUUUGAAGAUGAGGAAAUACAAGAAAACCAAAGUGCCUGCCACACCACGAGCAAUGGAGUAUUCAGAGAACUCCUUUUCGGUGGUUGAAUUGAGGAGUUGAUCUGAUCAUUAACAUUUUGGUUAUGCAGUUCAUCUCUACUUCUAAGAUCACAGGUGGAGACCUCAGACAUUUUCACCUUGUCACAUCACUGGUUGUUGACUUAAUGAAAGUGAUAUCAUGACAUCUGUAACAGAGAAUGAAUCAAAGCAAAAGGACACAUGAAACACGUGAAAAUGAUCAGUGGAGUCCCACAUACUACCUGCCUAUUAUCAGAAGACUUUUGUCGCUAAUUUAAAUAGUAUAUUAACAAUAUUAAGUGUUGAAUUAAGUGUUACAGUACAAUCACAGACACUUUAGCGCUAAAUGUAUUAGUAACAACUUUCAGCUGUAAGAAUCAGUGAAUCAGUUUAUCCAGAAGCAAAAUGCGUAAUUAAAGUGUAAAUAAAGCUUGUAUUGUCACAUUAGAAAUGCAACUUGUGAUGUUAUUUGGAAAUUAGUUUAAUGUAGAUUUUCAUGUUGUUUUUUCUCACUGCUAUAUUGCAAUUGUUGUUUUUUUUUCACUUUUUAAAAAUGUAUAAACAUUAUAUAUAUGAUGUGUUUUGUAUAUUCAUUAAUGUAACUGAAGUGUUUGACUUAGCCAAGUGAAUGAUGUAAUUCAUUAUUUUGUUUUUCACUGGAUCAUAUUUGGGAAAAAGUUCUGUUUCACUUCCAUGUUUAUAAACAUCACUGAUGUAAACAAACUUUUAAAAGAUUUUAACAUUAAAAGCUUAAAUUUA
Molecule: long non-coding RNA, 1130 nt
Organism: Seriola dumerili (greater amberjack)
Lineage: Eukaryota; Metazoa; Chordata; Actinopteri; Carangiformes; Carangidae
Exons: 2
Source: RefSeq, a predicted model, not a curated record